This is a long non-coding RNA of Prinia subflava (tawny-flanked prinia), 4519 nucleotides long. RefSeq lists it as uncharacterized. NCBI's taxonomy places the organism in Eukaryota, Metazoa, Chordata, Aves, Passeriformes, Cisticolidae. The record is from RefSeq and is a predicted model, not a curated record. The transcript has 4 exons.
CCCGGGGCCUCGCGCAAGCGCCCGGCAAGGAGAACAGGCCCGCGGCAGCUCCCCUCACCGUGACUGACGAAACUGCUGCCCAAUGGAGCUGCCGGGCUGGAGCCGGGGCUCCCCAGCAGUGCCCCGAUGCUGCAAAAACAGAUCUACAAGUGUGAAAGCAGUAGGCUGCAAGAAUUAGAGUAAAUCUGCUGACUCCAAAGUAUGAAAAAGCCAGGCCCACAAAAUGGAAAGAGAAGAUGUCAGAGACCCUCUGGAAGAAGUACAAGGAGCAAUGCAGCGGAUGUAGAGGGGGAAUAUCUUCUGUUAAUGGGCCAUUAAGGCUCACCAAUGACACGACACAUUCCAUCAUCCCAUUGUGAGAUGCUCCACCCAGUGAGGGGGAGCCAACCAUUUCUACCAAGAUAAAAACUGAGAUGUAAGAACACCAAGCAGUUGGUUUUCCACUGGAUUCUCAGAGGAGGACCAGACCCAUCUCAUCAGCACUGGACCCUUUUUUCCUACAUGAUCAUCGCUACUCCCCAGAACAACACCUGUUACUCCAGGAAGACUUAUUUGGACUGCUUCCAGCACCCUGACAACAGGGUGUCAGGUCAUAUCUCAGACUCUGUCAGGGUGUUCUAGGACUUCUGUUUUUUGUUUGUUUGUUUGUUUGUUUGUUUGUUUUGUUUGUGGUUUUGUUUUGUUUUUGUUUUUGUACUACUGCAUUUGUAUUUUUAAUAUUCCUAGUAAAAAAACUGUUAUUCCAAUUCCCAAAUUUUAGCUUGAAAGCCCUUAAUUUCAAAAUUAUAGUAAUUUAGAGGGAGGAGGUUUACACUCUCCAUUCCAAGGAGAGUUCCAACUUUCCCUGACAGGUACCUGUCCUGCCAAACCAAGACAUGAAUCAGAAAAACUUUGUCUGUAAUAUAUAUACAUUAUUAUAUAUCCACUCAGGGAGUGUUACAAGCCUGGUAGGCCAAGUCACCUGUAGCCAUCACCAUUCAACUCCUGAAGGGAACAGAUAAUGUUUGUGUACAGGAGGAACCGUGGUAACAGACAUACAGAUAAGUAUGAACAGAGAAAGACCACAGUAACAAGAAACAUUUCUUCUGAAGAAGGUCUUUUUUAGCUCUAGUAAUAAAGUUGCAUUUCUGUGCUAUGGAUGUAUUUCGAACUUGUUAUGCAAAAUCUGUGUUAAAAAACCCAAUAAACUGGGCCUACUUUAAUAGCUAUUAGGUGGAAAUUAGUGUCUUUUGGGGAACAAUUAGAGCUCCUCCUAGUGCCUUUGGAGUAAUAUUGUAGAGGAGAUGUACCAAUUACACUCAAAAUACCUUGCAAUUUUCACAGAAAUAAAAAGUAAUUAACAGCUUGUCUUAGUAAGUCUCAUUAUCUAAGUUCUGAACUGUUUCAAGGCUAGGAUUUUAACUGGAAAAUCAUUGGAAAGCUUUCCCUUAAGAACUAUUACCUUUUCCUUUUUAUCUCUCCAUCUUAUAUAAACAGAUUUUAGAGUACUUGUUUGUGAUACUGCUGCUGGGGAAAACAGUUACAUUUUUGGUUUAUUAGAGCCAACAAGACAACUAGGAGAACUGGAUAAAUCUGUGCAUUUUCAUGAUGAGACUGUUUGAAAUUACCCAUCAGCAUGUGUAAUCAUUUUCUGUUUAUCUUAUAUUUUCAAAACAAAUGUAUACUCUAAAGGAUAUUAGCUAGCUAAUUGUGGUUAGAGCCUAAGCUUUAUAUGCCAAUAAAUCAAACUGAGAGAGAAUUCUUCUAGCCUAUUUUAUACUAUUGUUCCUGAAUUCUGAAUUGCUUUGUAAAGCAAAAAUUUACUGUAGCAAAGACAUAUAAAUGCUAAGUAGUACUUUAGUAAUGGAAUAGCAUUCAUAAUUAUCAUACUCUAUAUAAAUAUAAGGGUUUGUUCAGCCUGGAAAAGAGAAGACAAGGUCUAGGGAUGACCUAAUUGUGGCCUUCCAGUACCUGAAAGGAGCCUACAAGAAAGAUUGAGAGGGACUUUUUACAAGGGUGUGUAGUGAUAGGACAUGGGGGAAUGGUUCAAACUGAGAGUAGGUUUACAUUAGAUAUUAGGAAGAAUUUUUUUACUGUGAGGGUGGUGAGGCACUGGAGCAUGUUGCCGAGAGAAGUUGUGGAUAUUUCAUCCCUGGAACUAUUCAAGGCCAGGCUCAAUGGAGCUCUGAGCAACCUGGUCUAAUGGAAAAGUGUUCCUGUCCACUGCAGAGGGGUUGGAACUAGAUGACCUUUAAAGUAAUUUCCAAUUCAAGCCAUUCUUUGAUUCUAUGAAGUAUACUUAAAAUUUCUAUUACACAGUUGAAGCAUAAUGGCAAAUUUAGUUUGAGAAGUUCCACAUGUUCUCUGUCAGACUAGGAGACAGGUAGUUACUGAGUUUGCUCAUGUUAAAAUCACAUUGAUGCCAAAAAGCAGCAGCAAUUACUUUUAGAUGGAUGCAAAAUCCUGUUUUAGUGAAGUAAUAUUAUGGGCUUAAAGCUGGUGAAAGUAUUGAUAUGUGUUAGCUGGACUAUUCUUGAGCUUGAUCAAAAGCUGGCAUUGCAUUGGGAAUUUUGGCAGACAGUGUGACAGAACUAUUCACCUUUGGGAAAUUUCCAGGAUAUUUUGCAUAUUGAAAUCCACUUAAAGGAGAUAAAACCUGGGAAAUUUUUUGCUUCCUGGAAGUGUUGACUAUGGUUUUAUCUCCUUAUAGGUAUAAAUUGAGAAUGUUUAGGUAAUUAAAUGUACUGCUCAAAUGUUUUCACCGUGAUUUAAUUAUCUUGAACCAUGCUUUUCUACUUUCCUGUACUCUUGAGAGAGCAGUUUUAAAAAGCACACAAUUAUUUUACGCUUGAGCUGGCAGAGGAUCCAGGGCUUUUGACAAGGCAGUGGACUCAUUAGACAAUAGAGAUCACACUAAUGAGUGGGGUACCAGUUCUGAAGUGAUGCAGCAGGCAUGGUAUGCAGGUAUGCAUGGGAUGAAGAUUGAUCAUAUUUCAGCUCAGUAUUAAACUGCUCACAGACCACUUGGACAGUUUGUGCAGUGCAAGACCUGUGCUUGUGGCACUAAAGCAGGAACCUGUUUUCAGAGCCUGUGGUCUUCCUUUCCGCUUAAGAAGCAUUGUGCCUACCUAGAAGGCAGCACUGCUAAGAUGCUAUGAUAAAACAUUACUUAUUUAGGGAGAUAAAGAAUGGGAGUUUAAGCCCUAGCCUUUGAAUUAUACCUCUUUUUCUACCUUUGUAAGGCACUGAGUCCCCCCCUAGUUUUUGAGAGGAGCCCAAAAUUGAGCAGAAUUACCCAAUCCUGGAAACUCAGCUAGAAGAGGAAGCAUCUACUUUUCAGGGAUGGCACAUUAAGAGCCUUUUUCUCUUAAGAUGUUUCUGUCUGAUGUUAGUGUCUAGGGCCAUGUAUGUCAAAGGAGGAUUCCUUCACUUGCCAAAAUAAUCUGUAAUGAAACAACAUAUUUAUUAUGCAUAGAAGAGUCGACUGUCUAAAAUUCAAAUGGUUUUGUUUCUUAAUAUGACUUCACCAGGACAGUGAAAAAACCUCAAGAAAAGAUUCUUCUUAAUAUCAGGUUAAAAGGCAGAUUGUAAUGAGGUAUAGAGCACAGAAGUAUACUGUCUUAGCAAUAAGCUGAUGAAAGCAUCAUUAUGAAUGACAUUUUUUGUAUAGAGGAUAUUGUUCAGUUUGAGUGAGUGAAUUGAGAUAUUUCUGAACCUGCUUGGGCAUAAUUUUUUAAGGAUGUCAUUUGGCUUGCAAUAUUCUUAUCUGCAUCAACAAUCACAGUUGAAAGUGGAACCAUAUAUCUCAAGCAGACAUUUAAUUCCUGUAUCUGUUGAAUCUGAAGCUGUCAUCACUCUAAAUAUCUUUUUAGUCUUUCUGUUUGAAUUGUGGUUAACUGCUGAUAUUAUAAAAACAACCACUUCCAAGUAGGUAUAAUGAUAAAAUUCCUAAAUUUGGGUAUCUGCUUCACUAUAGUCACCCCUGUUUGCAUUUGUUCAGGACUUUUUCUGGCUCCUAUUGCCACUUGAAAUGUUUCUGGUGACUCUAUUCUCAUGUGUGACUUUUGACUAAGUGAAUGGAAAAUAAAGUGAACGAUCAACCUUUUACUGUGAAAGACUCUGGUACUUGUGAACAUGUUCUGUUUUUCAUGCAAAGAAUGAUGGAUUAAGUACUAAAGGGAAAGCUACACUUUUUCAUUUGAGGUGUUUUUCUCAAUUUAAGGUCUAGUUCAGGAGUAUUCAAAGUACAAAAUCCAAUGGAGCUUUAGUUGCAUUUGAUAAAAGACCCCAGAUAUUGAAGCAUGUACUCUUGCACAGGACUUGUGGGACACAGAACUAGAUGUUUACUGUGCAUUAGCACAAUAUAUUCUGAAUUACACCAUUUCUGUCAGUAUUUUGAAUGCAUGAUUUAACUAAUAGUCUCCUGCAUGCUGUGUAAAUACUAUCCUUGCCAGGUUAAAUUCUAAUCAUGAAUAGUCACAUUGAUUUCUGGUUGUUGCUGUUAGGUUCAGGAGUUAUCAAUAGAUUGUAAUAGGCUAAA